RNAcentral lists this non-coding RNA (830 nucleotides) under Trapezia rufopunctata. The record is from RNAcentral. Lineage: Eukaryota; Metazoa; Arthropoda; Malacostraca; Decapoda; Trapeziidae.
UUAAAGUUUGAUUCUUUCUUGGAUUUUUAUAUGUUUACUAAAAUUGCAUGAGAAUUGAAGUAAGUAGUUAAAUUAGUUUUUAAAAAAUUAAUUAUUAAAUUAAUAAAAGCAUGUUUUAUAAAAUGUAAAUGCUCAGCAUAAAAUAUUAAUCAUAUUUAGGAAAGUAAGAUUUAGUAAGUAAAAAGAGAUCUGGUGAAAUAUUGUGCCAGCAGCCGCGGUUAAACAUUAAGGUCAAGUAAAAAUGUUAUAUUAUUUAGUUAAUUAUUAAGUUUAAUUAUAAGUUGCUUAUAAAAAACAAAGGUAAAAUAAUAAAUUUUAAUAAGUUAAUAAUUAAAUUAUGUUGAAGCUAAAAAAAUUUAGAUUUAAACUAGGAUUAGAUACCCUAUUAUACUAAAAAUAAAUUUUAAAGAUUGAUUAUUAAUAGAUAAGUUCUUAAAAUUUGAAGAAUUUGGCGGUAAUUCAGUCUUGUUAGAGGAACCUGUUUUAUUAAAUCGAUAAGCCGCGUAAUAUCUUGCUUUUUUUUGUUGGAUCAGCUUAUAUACCGUCAUUAGAAGAUAAUUUUAUAAAAAUUAAUUAUUAGGAUUUAUAAAGUAUAAAUAAAAUUAGAUCAAGGUGUAGCUAAUAAAAAAGCUAAAAUGGGUUACAAUAAAAUUUAUUUAUGACGUAUUUAUAAAGCAAGAGUUAUAAUAAAGGAGGAUUUAAUUGUAAUUAGAAAUUAAUAUAUUAUAAUGAUAAAAGCACUGGAUUAUGUACAUAUUGCCCGUCGCUUUCAUUUAAAGAUGAGAUAAGUCGUAACAUAGUAGAUUUAUUGGAAAAUGAAUCUAGAUUAA